Molecule: unclassified non-coding RNA, 299 nt
Filed under: plant metagenome
Description: partial contains 5.8S ribosomal RNA, internal transcribed spacer 2, and large subunit ribosomal RNA
Rfam family: 5.8S ribosomal RNA (bases 1-105)
Source: RNAcentral
GAAAUGUGAUAAGUAAUGUGAAUUGCAGAAUUCAGUGAAUCAUCGAAUCUUUGAACGCACAUUGUGCCCCCUGGUAUUCCGGGGGGCAUGCCUGUUCGAGCGUCAUUUCACCACUCAAGCCUCGCUUGGUAUUGGGCGACGCGGUCCGCCGCGCGCCUCAAAUCGACCGGCUGGGUCUUUCGUCCCCUCAGCGUUGUGGAAACUAUUCGCUAAAGGGUGCCGCGGGAGGCCACGCCGUAAAACAACCCCAUUUCUAAGGUUGACCUCGGAUCAGGUAGGGAUACCCGCUGAACUUAAGC